This 253-nucleotide ribosomal RNA is filed under the name uncultured bacterium. RNAcentral describes it as "partial 16S ribosomal RNA". It matches the Rfam family "Bacterial small subunit ribosomal RNA", at positions 524 to 776 of the family's 1533-position model. The record is from RNAcentral.
GACAGAGGUGCCAAGCGUUAUGCGGAAUCACUGGGCUUAAAGCGUGUGUAGGUGGAAGCGUAAGUACCUUGUGAAAUCCCACGGCUCAACCGUGGAACUGCUUGGUAUACUGCGUUUCUUGAGCCAACUAGGGGCUAUCGGAACAAGUGGUGGAGCGGUGAAAUGCGUAGAUAUCACUUGGAACGCCAAUGGUGAAAACAGAUAGCUGGGGUUGUGCUGACACUGAGACACGAAAGCCAGGGGAGCAAACGGG